This 1146-nucleotide long non-coding RNA is filed under the name Sinocyclocheilus grahami. RNAcentral's name for it is "lncRNA (ENSSGRG00000009404.1)". The record is from RNAcentral. Lineage: Eukaryota; Metazoa; Chordata; Actinopteri; Cypriniformes; Cyprinidae.
AUGAGCAACCAAGAGAAGUGCCACAGGACAAGCAUGCAGCACCUCCGCUAUCUCGAUAGCUUUAUGGAUGAAAUAGACCGUGAGGUCAUGAGCCUGACGGAUCGAGCUUUCAAGAGUCUGUGCAUUGGAGAUGAAGCUGUCUACAAUGACUCAGAGUUUUCCCCCUCUCCAGUCAGCUGCCACAAGCCAGUGGUGGAGGACGUCUCAAAAAAGACUCAGGAGAGCUCAUUUUCUGCAGCCAAAAAACUUAAUUCUUACCCCCUUAAUGGAGCGAAUGAUUCGUUGAGCAGAUCAAAUAAGUCAUCCAAAGACUUGUCGCUUUUUGCAGUGUUUGCGGCCAAAAAGAAUGGUGAGAGCACCAAGAUGACAAAUGGUGAUUCAUGGGACAAGUCUGCUCUACUCAGCAUCCAGAGAGAGCUCUCAGAGUUUUCUUCAGAUUAUCACAGUUUAACAGUGGAACAUCUUUCCCAAGCCAAGAAUCAUCUCAAAUCAGAUGAAAAAGUGUCUGCCAGGAAAUCAAGCAAGGAUGCGUUGAUUCCAUCUGAAAAAUCCUCUAAAAGUAAACAAGGCAAAAACAACAAACUGAGAAAACUGAAUUGCAUUAACUUUUUCCUCCACAGCGAACUCAGCCCAUUUUUGUCAUGGAGGGAAUUUAAUACGUUCUCUAUCGGGCAGGAGCACAUUUCGAAGAUUAUGUUAAGCAAUAGACCACCUGAGUGGUAUGAUUCACCUCUUUACAAAGAGUUAACUGCAGCACAUGGACACUAUAAAUUAAGUGUUCCCCCAUCAGUGGAAAAAGAAACUGAAAAGUGUCCUAAACAAAGUGAGACUCAUCCGCUUAAACCACAAUUUGCACAGAAUUCAGCACCCCCCAAACCAGAGAAAGAGUCCGAGCACAUCCAGCACAAUAUUCCUAGAAAGGCUCCUCCACCUACUGCUGAACAGAGAUGUAAUUCAGAAAGGGCGGAAGCUUGCGUUCCCUGGCGAAAAAGCCGCAGUAGAGCAAAAAGUGUUGCACCUGUGUGGCAUUCUGUUAAUUCACUGGCCUGUGAAAGGACAAAAGCUGGAGAAGGGAGUGCACAGGCAUUUAAAAAAGAAGAGGACCAAUCCUCUGCUAGUUCAACUCCUUUCAGUAUUUCACAGCUG